CCACACGCGUAUACGUACGGAGAGUCCGAAAGUAUGCGGAGGUAAUCAUGGUGAUGAUGCCCUAUAUACCGGACCUUUGGCCAUUGGCUCAGUCUGCAUCUCUCCGUGUCGGCGGGAGGAAAAGCACAACAAAUUGCACCGUCUUCUGUUUAGGAAAGUGGUGACCCAUUCAUCAAAUGGUGAAGCGGUGUUUUAACUCUGGAAGUUCUUGAGACAUUCCCUUUUCGUCACUGAAUAUAUUCAACUGAUAAUGACAGAUUGAUGCGCCGCAACAAAGGCUUCAUCGAUUGGUACCCAUUGAGGGAUCGGCCCAGGUACAUGUUAGCGAAGAAUAGAUGAUAUUGAUCCGAGCAAGAGGGGUAGUUUAAUCAGUACCUCAUCAAUUAUUGGUCUUCUUUCACCCAUGGAGCUCUCAGAGAGGAUAAUGGCUAUAGAAACGUAUCCACAUGACUAGUCAGGGUAACCCUUCUGUGUUUAUCGUCUCAGUGAGGUACGCGACUAAAAAGGCCACUUCGAAUCUAGGUCAUCAGACGGUAGAAAGAACCGGCACUUUGCAGACGACUUCGAUGCAGGCGACUAUUAUAUGAGACAGCUGCCUGGACAUACAUAACGUGACUGCUAAACCAUUACAUUUAUUGUACGACAUUAACGGUACCGCGUUAUGCACUUAAUAAGGAACUGUUAAUUGCAUCUAUAGAAGUGGAUGGACUCCUGUCAUGCUAUUUUACAGAUUGGUAAUUUGUUGUUUUCCUAUUAAACCUGUUGUUAGAAAAAAGUUUGAGCUUAGAGGAAAUAAACAAAUGAGGAGUUCAUCAUUAAGAGCUAGGCAUCUAGAUAUUCUCCUUACGGAUCAGCUGGCUCCUUGAUGACAUUCACUCCUAAGUAAACAGUGUCCAGGGCAGGUAUUUGAUCGACUUUCUUCAAUAUCAUUCUGAAGUCUUUGUUAAUGUUGAUGCGUGACUAAAUUUCUCUCGAGGUUGUUAGUUAUGCUUGACUUAAGCUAGACAUAAUUCCAAACUGUAAUCGCAUUCUAUGUUUCUGUCUCGGGAUCGCAACGUACAUUUUGAUACCGUUUAGGACUUGAGGCGUGUAAUCGUCUUGUGCAUCGAUCUUUCACCAACUCUCGUAUUCUCACGCUUGCAAAUACUGCUUCCAUAUAUUCUUGAAAGUCCUGAUUUUUAUUGGUAACGAGACCCACCAUUGAAUCAAAUCUUGGUGGGAUUUUCCUUUUCACCGUCAAGACGCGCUGACUAAUUCAGGAUGUCUGCCCAACGUAUCGCUAGGAGGCGCAUCUCGGCCGAUAAGCAGGCCGCAGCCGCCAAUACCGACUUCGCAAACCUCAACAACAACCUCGACGUCAACGAUUACGACACCAAGAUGAAGUCGAGGGAUGUCAAGAACUGCUUGGACAAAAUGGAUGGUAAUCUAUCGCCUGCCUCGAUCAGAAGGCGGACCACGCGAUCAAAAAGCGUCCAAAACUCAGAUCUCAUGUCACAUGACAUCUCGAUGAAUUUGAUGAGAAAACAGGUACGAUCAGCGUCGGAUGCGCAGCUAUCGCUCGAUAAAUUGCAAACGAGGAUGGAGAUGUCGUCUGCGAAGUCAGAUGAAACUUUCGACGAAUCGAAAGAGAUAGACGAUCACGUGACAUCGGAUAGGAGCCAAUUAGAAGAGUUGAUAUCACCGAGAUCGUGGUCAGAUAUGAUCGCAAGUGAUAUCGCCAUAUCUUACGAUCAGAUAGAUGAUCAUUGUCAACAUAACUCUAAUAACAAUAAUCAUAAGAGCGAUACUAUAGCAAACACAAUUAAAGUUCCAGACCAGCUAAAGCAUGGCAAUGGUGUCCUGAAAAAGGCGUUUGUAGAAGAUGUUACAUUUCAUGACGUCAGUUCAAGACAACGGAUCAGAUCGUUUGAACCCAAAGAUGACGUAAUAACACCGCGCACGUGGGAUGAGAUGGUAGCAGAGGAUAGCGAAUCACGUGACCAUACUCAAGAUAGACAUGAUAAUGGUGAAUCAACCUCGGAGCAAGGUCUACAUCCGAUUGCGUCAUCUGAAGGAGAGAAUGACCAACCGGAUCCCCGGGCAGCCUCGGUAGAGUUUGCAUGGCCUAAGGAGUUGCCUAGCAACAGAUCGGUAUCACGUGACAGGGAGACACAACAUGAUGUACGAUGUGAAAAUCAGUGCAAAGCAUUUAGAGAGACUGACCCUGAGUUAAGGUUGGCUCGGUUGGAGUGGAAUUUACGCAUGUUGAAUAGAGACCUGACGGCGAUGAGAAAAACGGACCAACAAAUAUUUCGACAACUCCUCAGUAACUACGAGACGAUUGGUCAGGUCGCUGAUCACGUGACGGUCAUUACGGAAACGCCUUCCCCGUUACCUCCUUCCUCUUCUCCAUAUCCAGUCACACCGAGGUCUAACCCGAGUAGCCCCGAGAAAACCCGACCAUACUCGACCACUCCGGGAGAUACCGAACUACUCCGAAUCAUCAGGGAAGCGCUCGAUCAUCCAGGAGCACUGAACAUUGGGAACAUCGUAGAUCAGUUAUCUCCGAUUCGACGCCGAAGAAGCAGCGAACCCACCACGAUAGAAUACGAAGACCUCCCGCCAUGCUUCGACGAAGAAGAUGAUCAAGAACUAGAAGAUCUCUUGAGUUUAUCUUGUCCAGUUUUUAAGGAACCCAAAGCUCCUAUUAAACGUCGAAACACGCAAGGAACCGACCUAUGACGUCAGGAGGAUGCCUUGGUAGAAAGAGACUAAUAAUAAUUGUUGCAUCUCGAAGCUGAUGGAUUUAGAGGAAAGUGUUCAUCCUAUUUCUCGUAAACGUCUUACAGGGUGGUAAUGGACUCACCGACGAUGAGAAGAAAGAAAUCCUGGCUCAACAUAAUCAGUACCGUAGUGAUGUACAACCAACUGCUGCAAACAUGUUACCUCUGCCUCGUUCUCUUAUUACAGCAAUGGAACAAUGAGAUUGCAAAUUUGUCGCAAUGGUGGGUUAACCAAUGCGACUUGAGCCUCAACAGCCCUUCUUCAACAAAAUGGACUACAUGUACGUUAGGCAGGAGCGUCGCCUAUGGGCCCGUCGACACAAAUUUGUCUUUGUUUGUGGAGUGGUGGCAUAAUGUGACGCAUCAAUAUAACUUCGAAGACAACACCUGUGCCGGUAAUUGUUAUCGUUACACUCAGAUGGUGUCGGCUACAACUUCUUUCGUUGGAUGUGGCAAGGCUGGUUGUUUUAAUGGCACAAUAUUCUACUGUAUAUACGGACCCAGAGGUAAUGUGACCCAUCGCCCAUACGAAUCAGGUGUGCCCUGUUCUAGUUGCCCUGAAAGUGAAGGAGUUACGUAUAGCUGCGAGAAUAAUCUUUGCACCUUGGACUAAUGGCUUGGAAAGGCUGACAUGACAACGAGAUUGGACUGAACUACCCAACGUCAACCCGUUCAAAGGAACUGAUUAUGUUUUAUUUUUUCUUCUACUCAUCAAACCGCCGCACAAACCGCGGGGGGGGGGGGGGGUUUCUUCUUGUAAAGGUUAAAACCUGCUGGUUGUGGUUUACUUCAAUUAAUAUAUAUAGAGGCCUUCUUUUUAUUUUUAUUUCGAAAUCUGUGUUCGUAAUAUCUAUAGUUUUAAAGCAAUGUUAUAUACUGCAUUAUAUUGAACAUUGUCUUGAAUACUUCAAUGCUGUUUGCAGACAUGGGAAUUCUGAUCUUCUUUCUUAAUCUUUACCGUUCAUGUCAUUGUAACCAUUAUUUGUUUUUAUUUGAUGCUCUCUCCCUCUAUUUUACCAUUAUUUAAAUCUUGAUUUUUUAUAUCAUCAAUGAAUUUCAUCGUUGAAAGACUUACUUCAUUAUUAUCCCUAUCAUAUCAAUUUAUUUCGUUCAUUCAAUUGUAAACUUAUAGUUCUUUUAAAAUGAGAAGUCUUCUAUCACAGCCCAACUAUAAACCAAAUUAAGUCACGUUCUAGGGAUUUUAGGGAGGACGUUCCUAAAAUCAAUAAAAGUGCCCUUGUAUAUACAGUGCGUCCCAAAAAAAAAUGAAACCCAGAAUUGUCGAUGUUUUAUCAUAACUUAAUCACAAUUAUAAUUAAUAAAUGACACAUAUUUGUAAACCUUAGAUCCUCCUCUUUGAUUUGAUGCAACUCAUAUGAUCCAUAUAACACGCAUGGGUGAUUAAAAUAAAUUUGAAGAGAGGGAACCAAAAAGUCAUGUGGCGGACGGUAUUUGAAUUUUUAGAGAGAGAAAAUCACAUUUCCAGAGAGUUGAAUUUCUACCAUUUCAUAUGACACCUCUAUCCGGAAAAAUGAGCUAGGAAUAACGAAGUUCUGUUUGCGUAAAGUAAUGCUUGCAUUUCCGUAAUUUCAUUAAAAUUAUUCGUUUUCACUGGGCGCCUGACGUAAUAACAAGAAGAAUUGACAAAAGACUUACAGGAGCUACACAAAGAAAAUUCACUAACAACUCGUAAUUAGAACAAAUUAUAUAUGGAUGGAAAGAUUUUCUCUUGAAAAA
RNA transcript from Strongylocentrotus purpuratus (purple sea urchin), 4499 nucleotides. RefSeq lists it as uncharacterized. The transcript has 10 exons. NCBI's taxonomy places the organism in Eukaryota, Metazoa, Echinodermata, Echinoidea, Camarodonta, Strongylocentrotidae. The record is from RefSeq and is a predicted model, not a curated record.